Molecule: transfer RNA, 78 nt
Filed under: Vulcanisaeta distributa DSM 14429
Lineage: Archaea; Thermoproteati; Thermoproteota; Thermoprotei; Thermoproteales; Thermoproteaceae
Also listed under: 3 other names
Description: tRNA-Asp (GTC) (tRNA-Asp-GTC-1-1)
Rfam family: tRNA
About the family: Transfer RNA (tRNA) molecules are approximately 80 nucleotides in length. Their secondary structure includes four short double-helical elements and three loops (D, anti-codon, and T loops).
Source: RNAcentral
GCCCCGGUGGUAUAGCCCGGUCUAGUAUGGCGGCCUGUCGAGCCGCAGACCCGGGUUCAAAUCCCGGCCGGGGCGCCA